GAUGAACGCUGGCGGCGUGCUUAACACAUGCAAGUCGAACGGACAGGCCCGGCUUUUGUUGGGUGCUCGAUUGGCGAACGGGUGUGUAACACGCGUGUAACCUGCCCCUAUCAUAGGGAUAACUCCAGGAAACACCGGCGCUAACCCGGUAGGAGCUCUUGCUGCGUGUGGGUCGGUGGUAAGUGUCGGCGGUGGUGGAUGGACUCGCGGCUUAUCAGCUUGUUGGGGAGGUUGUGGCUUACCACGGCUUUGACGGGUAGCCGGCCUGAGAGGGUGAACGGCCUCAAUGGGACUGAGGUACGGCCCAGAAUCCUACGGGAGGCAACAGUAGGGAAUAUUGCGGAGUGAGGGGAAGCGUGGUGCAACGACGCCGCGAGCGUAAUGAGGGGGUUCGAGUUGUGAACCAAUUUGGAAUGUGCCGCGGAGUGCGUGACGGUAAUGGGUAAGAAAGCCACGGCUAACUACGUG
This 468-nucleotide ribosomal RNA is filed under the name uncultured bacterium. Its description in RNAcentral is "partial 16S ribosomal RNA". It matches the Rfam family "Bacterial small subunit ribosomal RNA", at positions 28 to 507 of the family's 1533-position model. The record is from RNAcentral.